Phascolarctos cinereus (koala) is the source of this 128-nucleotide small nuclear RNA. The record is from Ensembl. Lineage: Eukaryota; Metazoa; Chordata; Mammalia; Diprotodontia; Phascolarctidae.
GUGUUGUACAAAAGGAGAGAAGGUUAGCACUCCCCUUGAUAAGGAAAGAAGAUGUCCUAGUGGUCUUUACAACACACAUACAGUUAAGACAACUAAUGUGGAAAUGUUUAACAUGAUUGCACAUGUAU